Long non-coding RNA from Sinocyclocheilus grahami, 567 nucleotides. RefSeq lists it as uncharacterized. The record is from RefSeq and is a predicted model, not a curated record. Lineage: Eukaryota; Metazoa; Chordata; Actinopteri; Cypriniformes; Cyprinidae. The transcript is spliced from 3 exons.
GUAACACGCCAAAAAACGGAAGAAGAAGAAGAAGAAGAAAAUGCACACGCUGGAAAAGCUGCCACAUAUACAACAAUUUUCUACUUGGGGACCUUGAUAAAUGUAGCGGAGUACGAUAUGUGUAUGUCUUGAAUUGUAUGUCUUGACUUACGCUUUCUAAACUUGCUUCGUGAAGCUUCGAAAACUUUGCGAAUCUUUAGUAAACAAGUUCAACAACUGAACAUACCUUCGGGGGAAAAAAGGGCCCUCCGAAGGGGCCCACAUCCAUUCACUUCGUUACAAUAUGAUGAGCCACAUGGGACUUUCCUGUCACAAGAAGUACUGCACAAGAGAUCUGCACCUCCUUCCACAAGUACUGUACCUUCAGUGAAGCUCCUCCCACAGCAAUUCACCAAUAAAAGUUGGAAUAUUCCCAUCAGUGAAGAAGAGUUUUCAGUGACCGGAGUGAUCCAGAACCCUACAAAAUGAAACCUGAAGAUACUGAAGAACAUGGAGACCUGAUGGAAGAGGAGGAGGAGAGUGAAGAACUGAGUGAAGCAGAAGAAAAACAUGUCAAAACUGGAGUAA